GAUGAACGCUGGCGGCGUGCCUAAUACAUGCAAGUCGAGCGAACAGAUGAGGAGCUUGCUCCUCUGACGUUAGCGGCGGACGGGUGAGUAACACGUGGAUAACCUACCUAUAAGACUGGGAUAACUUCGGGAAACCGGAGCUAAUACCGGAUAAUAUAUUGAACCGCAUGGUUCAAUAGUGAAAGACGGUUUUGCUGUCACUUAUAGAUGGAUCCGCGCCGCAUUAGCUAGUUGGUAAGGUAACGGCUUACCAAGGCAACGAUGCGUAGCCGACCUGAGAGGGUGAUCGGCCACACUGGAACUGAGACACGGUCCAGACUCCUACGGGAGGCAGCAGUAGGGAAUCUUCCGCAAUGGGCGAAAGCCUGACGGAGCAACGCCGCGUGAGUGAUGAAGGUCUUCGGGUCGUAAAGCUCUGUUAUUAGGGAAGAACAACUGUGUAAGUAACUAUGCACGUCUUGACGGUACCUAAUCAGAAAGCCCCGGCUAACUACGUG
Molecule: ribosomal RNA, 497 nt
Filed under: uncultured bacterium
Lineage: Bacteria
Description: partial 16S ribosomal RNA
Rfam family: Bacterial small subunit ribosomal RNA
Source: RNAcentral